Microcebus murinus (gray mouse lemur) is the source of this 688-nucleotide non-coding RNA. The record is from RefSeq and is a predicted model, not a curated record. Lineage: Eukaryota; Metazoa; Chordata; Mammalia; Primates; Cheirogaleidae.
CACUCUCUGUCUAGAAAGAAAGAAUAUUAACAAACCCCGUGAGUUAACUCGGAACCAAACCUAGGCUGUUCCCUGCAGCCCUAUCUGGUGUAUCGGGCAGUUGGCUGGUUGCCUAGCAACUGCUUACUUGAAGGGAAAACAACUGCGUCACAAAGAGGUCAUUCCGUCCAUCACACGCACUGUCUCAGGUUGAGCAAAGGAAAGUGUUUGCCCAGGUUGGCAUGCUCCUCUCAGGUGAAAUAUGAGGAGAUGUUUUAAGGCAGUUAGUUUUGGGAUUCAACAAUGGUAUUGGAGGUAGAGGAGAGCGUAAAAAUGACUGAAAAAUAUAAAGUCACCUGGGUGUGGAUCAGUCCUAAGAAAGCUGCCUGGAUCCCAGCUGGAGAAACUACUGCCUAAGUCUCAGGGACUUGAAGUAACUACCAAAUGCAGUGGCAAUAAAAUGCCAACCUAAUGUGGAAAUUUAAUGCAAAACUGUAUACAUGAACUACACGAGGGAACUGUAAUGGAUGUUUUAGGAUGUAACUAACAUGUCAAGAUUCAAAGAAGUGAAAUUUCCUCCCACCUUCUCUGGAUCCCAAGGGACAUGCAAGUGAGAAGAAGCCCUUCCCUCACCAAUUGCAAAGGCUGACCUUUGAAUGCUUUCUUCUUUCUCUUGAAUUUUUCUAAGAAGAACCAGAUUUGCUUCGUC